Molecule: ribosomal RNA, 462 nt
Filed under: Triticum aestivum (bread wheat)
Lineage: Eukaryota; Viridiplantae; Streptophyta; Magnoliopsida; Poales; Poaceae
Description: partial small subunit ribosomal RNA
Source: RNAcentral
AUGGAGAGAAUCAGGAUGAGGAGGAUGCCACUGCGGAUCCAUGCCAAUCCGGAGUGCCGGCACAGAUCCAAGCGGCCCCGUCAAGCUGCCGCCGAGGUUGACCCUGAGCAGGCCAUCGCUGCCGCGCCUCUGCCACAGGCCCAGCCAGCUCCGUGCGCGCAGGCCCAGCCAAAGCCGCGCUGCAAUGGGCCGAUGAACACGAAGCAGCCAUCGGUCGCGGGUGUUACGGUCUGGGAAAUCGCAGAGAUGGGGUCAACGGGCCUGGGAAAUCAGAAGAGAGAGAGAGAGAUGGGGUCAACGGAACCAACACCAAAAGAGGGGAUCCGACCAUCAGUGCUCGACCCGGGCGCCACGGGCAAGAAGAGAGAGGGGAACGCCACGGUGUGGGCUGUGGAAGACAUGGGUGCGUCGUGUGGUGUGGCUGGAGCACGGAUAGAGAGAAGGGCAACGCUGAUGGAGUGA